Molecule: ribosomal RNA, 64 nt
Filed under: uncultured Pezizomycotina
Lineage: Eukaryota; Fungi; Ascomycota
Description: partial 18S ribosomal RNA
Rfam family: Eukaryotic small subunit ribosomal RNA
Source: RNAcentral
UGGUCAUUUAGAGGAAGUAAAAGUCGUAACAAGGUCUCGUAGGUGACCUGCGGAGGGAUCAUUA